CUUUACUGUAGCCUGGAAUUGGGUCCGGGCUUCGCUUGCGCAGGAUAGGUGGGAGGCACUGAAACACUCCUUGUGGGGAGUGUGGAGCCAACGGUGAGAUACCACUCUAGCGAGGCUAGAAUUCUAACCCUUGCCCGUCAGCCGGGAAGGAGACAGUUUCAGGUGGGCAGUUUGACUGGGGCGGUCGCCUCCUAAAAGGUAACGGAGGCGCGCAAAGGUUCCCUCCGGCUGGUUGGAAAUCAGCCCGUGAAGUGCAAAGGCAUAAGGGAGCUUGACUGCAAGAGCCACACCUCGAGCAGGGACGAAAGUCGGCCUUAGUGAUCCGACGGCGCUGAGUGGAAGGGCCGUCGCUCAACGGAUAAAAGUUA
This 368-nucleotide ribosomal RNA is filed under the name uncultured organism. RNAcentral's name for it is "bacterial LSU rRNA". It matches the Rfam family "Bacterial large subunit ribosomal RNA", at positions 2099 to 2465 of the family's 2925-position model. The record is from RNAcentral.